This 301-nucleotide ribosomal RNA is filed under the name uncultured bacterium. RNAcentral describes it as "partial 16S ribosomal RNA". It matches the Rfam family "Bacterial small subunit ribosomal RNA", at positions 509 to 807 of the family's 1533-position model. The record is from RNAcentral.
CAGUCGCCACGGUAAUACGUAGGGUGCGAGCGUUAAUCGGAAUUACUGGGCGUAAAGCGUGCGCAGGCGGUUGUGUAAGACAGGUGUGAAAUCCCCGGGCUUAACCUGGGAACUGCGCUUGUGACUGCACAGCUAGAGUAUGGCAGAGGGGGGUGGAAUUCCACGUGUAGCAGUGAAAUGCGUAGAGAUGUGGAGGAACACCGAUGGCGAAGGCAGCCCCCUGGGCCAACACUGACGCUCAUGCACGAAAGCGUGGGGAGCAAACAGGAUUAGAUACCCCUGUAGUCCCUGUCUCUUAUAC